UACGUAGGGGGCAAGCGUUGUCCGGAUUUAUUGGGCGUAAAGAGCGUGUAGGCGGCCAUGCAGGUCCGUUGUGAAAACUCGAGGCUCAACCUCGAGAGGUCGGUGGAAACCGUGUGGCUAGAGUCCGGAAGAGGAGAGUGGAAUUCCCGGUGUAGCGGUGAAAUGCGCAGAUAUCGGGAAGAACACCCGUGGCGAAGGCGGCUCUCUGGGACGGUACUGACGCUGAGACGCGAAAGCGUGGGGAGCGAACAGG
Molecule: ribosomal RNA, 253 nt
Filed under: uncultured bacterium
Lineage: Bacteria
Description: partial 16S ribosomal RNA
Rfam family: Bacterial small subunit ribosomal RNA
Source: RNAcentral